RNAcentral lists this ribosomal RNA (271 nucleotides) under uncultured prokaryote. RNAcentral describes it as "partial 16S ribosomal RNA". It matches the Rfam family "Bacterial small subunit ribosomal RNA", at positions 524 to 794 of the family's 1533-position model. The record is from RNAcentral.
UACGUAGGUGGCAAGCGUUGUCCGGAAUUACUGGGCGUAAAGGGCGUGUAGGCGGAUCUUUAAGUCAGGUGUGAAAUCUUUGGGCUUAACCCAGAGUUUGCAUUUGAUACUGGGGAUCUUGAGUGCAGGAGAGGGCAGUGGAAUUCCUAGUGUAGCGGUGAAAUGCGUAGAUAUUAGGAGGAACACCAGUGGCGAAGGCGACUGCCUGGACUGUAACUGACGCUGAGGCGCGAAAGCGUGGGGAGCAAACAGGAUUAGAUACCCCCGUAGU